RNAcentral lists this ribosomal RNA (433 nucleotides) under uncultured bacterium. Its description in RNAcentral is "partial 16S ribosomal RNA". It matches the Rfam family "Bacterial small subunit ribosomal RNA", at positions 29 to 507 of the family's 1533-position model. The record is from RNAcentral.
AACGAACGCUGGCGGCAUGCCUAACACAUGCAAGUCGAACGAGACCUUCGGGUCUAGUGGCGCACGGGUGCGUAACGCGUGGGAACCUGCCCUUAGGUUCGGAAUAACUCCCCGAAAGGGGUGCUAAUACCGGAUAAUGUCUUCGGACCAAAGAUUUGUCGCCUUUGGAUGGGCCCGCGUUGGAUUAGCUAGUUGGUAGGGUAAAAGCCUACCAAGGCGACGAUCCAUAGCUGGUCUGAGAGGAUGAUCAGCCACACUGGGACUGAGACACGGCCCAGACUCCUACGGGAGGCAGCAGUGGGGAAUAUUGGACAAUGGGCGAAAGCCUGAUCCAGCAAUGCCGCGUGAGUGAUGAAGGCCUUAGGGUUGUAAAGCUCUUUUACCCGGGAUGAUAAUGACAGUACCGGGAGAAUAAGCGCCGGCUAACUCCGUG